ACGGAAGGCAGCGGUAGGGAAUAUUGCACAAUGGGGGAAACCCUGAUGCAGCAACGCCACGUGUGGGAAGAAGCAUUUCGGUGUGUAAACCACUGUCGUGAGGGAAUAAUGCUUGGUCUCGGCCAAGUUGAAUGUACCCCGAAAGGAAGCACCGGCAAACUUCGUGCCAGCAGCCGCGGUAGUACGAGGGGUGCAAGCGUUGUUCGGAAUCACUGGGCGUAAAGGGAGCGCAGGCGGAGAUGCAAGCAGUCUGUACAAUACCGGGGCCCAACCCCGGACCUGCAGACUGGACUGUUUCGCUUGGAUAGUUCAGGGGCAAGCGGAAUUCCUGGUGUAGCGGUGGAAUGCGUAGAGAUCAGGAAGAACACCGAUGGCGAAGGCAGCUUGCUGGGGACUUAUCGACGCUCAGGCUCGAAAGUGCGGGUAGCAAACAGGAUUAGAUACCCUGGUA
Molecule: ribosomal RNA, 451 nt
Filed under: uncultured Fibrobacter sp.
Lineage: Bacteria; Pseudomonadati; Fibrobacterota; Fibrobacteria; Fibrobacterales; Fibrobacteraceae
Description: partial 16S ribosomal RNA
Rfam family: Bacterial small subunit ribosomal RNA
Source: RNAcentral